Long non-coding RNA from Manis pentadactyla (Chinese pangolin), 5275 nucleotides. RefSeq lists it as uncharacterized. The record is from RefSeq and is a predicted model, not a curated record. NCBI's taxonomy places the organism in Eukaryota, Metazoa, Chordata, Mammalia, Pholidota, Manidae. The transcript is spliced from 4 exons.
AGCGCCACCAUGUUGUACGUACGCCACGCAGCGCCCCUCCGUGGGCGGGAAGCAUAGCGCCGACCCGUCGUACGACCACCGAUGUGCCGCCUCUCUGAGGGGCCAGGCUGUGCCUCAGCGUUCCACAGCGACGCCGCACAAAGAUUUUUUUUUGGCCUCGCUGUAGAGAUAAAUGAAAUGACAAAGGACCUGCAAAGGGCAGAGGGAAUGAAUGAGAUUGGAGCCUAUCAAGGAAAGGUGAGAGGGAGCAUUGGAUGUGAGCCUCCUACUGAAGAAAUACUUGAAAAAUUUUUGUAUUAUUUCUAGGAGCUACCUUUGGGACCUUAGGAAAGCAGAUAACCUCACUGAGACGUCUUAUCUGUGAUAUAGGAAUAAUAAUCCCAUAUUACAGAUAUGCUGGGAGAGUUAAUGGAGGUAAAGCAUGGACUGGCACACUGUGAAAGCUUAGUCUUAGUUGUUUUCACUGACCUUUGAACACAGUAUCAAAAAAAGUUGGAAAUUGUACCAGUUGGAAGACUGGAGUCUCGAGGAUACCCCUGAAGACCUGUGGCCAUUCACUGUUAAUCAAGCCCCUGCAGAAGUCUUAUAUUGAGAGAGCUAUUUACUGGGUUAUGGGUUACAUGCUUCAAGUAUUAUACAGUCUGUUAAGCUCAUGAGAGUAGAUAACUCUGUCUAAAAUGAACAGGCAGUUGUUUAAUGUUUAAUAGUUCUUAGAGACUCACUGAAAAAACCUCCUUAAAGGGCAGUUAAAGGGAAUCCCAGUGGCAGUAUAUAGUAAUAUUACUUCGAAAGCCAAAACCUAUUGCUGAUGAAGCAAAGGGAAAGUACAGAAACUCUUUUGGUGGGAUGUUUAUAGCUGUUAUUGGCAUAGGAAUGAGGAAUGAUUGGAACUAUAGUUAUUAAAGAAUAUUACAAAGCAAAAACUAGUAUGGUCCUGGUGUAGGAAUCGACCAAUGGAACAGAAUAAAGGACAGAUCUUUAUAUAUAUAUGGGACUUUGAUAUCAUAAAUAUGGUACUACCACAACAAAUGGAAAAGGAUGCCUUUUUUGGUAUAUGGUAUUAGGAAAACUGUCUCAUCACCUGGAGAAAAAGUUGGACUUUUGACUUAAACCACACAAAGAUGAACUCUAGAUGGAUUAAAAACUAACUGAGCUAAAAAUACAGGGCCAGUAGAAGAAAAUAAACAUUAUCUUUGUGAAGUGUAUCAGAUUAUGAAAGUACAAAUCAUAGAUGAAAAAUUGAUGACUUAACUACAUCAAUAUUAAGGGUUUUUUUUGUUGAAUGAAGGAAACUAAAAAAGUUAACAGACAUGGAGAGAAUAAUUGGAGAGCAUUGAAAACAAGGAAUCAAUAUUUAGAUCAAUCAUGUCCACUAAAAAUAUUAUGUGAGCCAUAUAUUUAAAAUAUUCUAAUAAUCACACUAAAAAUAAGUGAAAUUAAUUUUAAUAAUAUACCCAAAUUUUUAUAAAUUACCCGAAAUACUGGUGUUUCAACAUGAAAUCUGAAAAAAAAGAUAUUAAAAUAUUUUUCAUGCUAAGUACUUGAAAUCUUGUUUGUAUUUUGCACUUAUAGCACAUUUCAAUUUAGACAAUAAAUUUUCAUUGGAAGUUUAUGAUCUAUCGAUAUAUUUCAUAAAAAUUAGGCUUGCAUGCCCCAGUUCCAUACAUACUUAAAAAUUUCCAAUAAAUAUACUGGUCUCCAAAAAACACUUUUCUUCAGUAAUUUGUAUCCCUGUUAACAAAAUUGAUUCAUCUUUUUUAGAAGAAUUGAUUUGACUUUGAAGCAAAAGCAUAUCAGCUUUAAAACUACACUAACUGAAGCUAAAAGUAAAUUCACUAACUGUUGUGUUAAAUUUAAUCACUUAAUUUAAAUCAAUUUAAAUUAUUAACAUUGAGUUCAAAGGGGUAUUACAAACUUUGAAGGCAACUCUAAACUUACCAAUAUUAACAAAGCAUUUUUCAAAAUCUUCUUGUGUUAUAGCAUCUUACUAUGCUGAUGAACAGCGACUGUAAUGGGGUAUGUGGUGGGGACUUGAUAAUGGGGGGAGUCUAGUAACCAUAAUGUUGCUCAUGUAAUUGUACAUUAAUGAUACCAAAAAAAAAAUAUUUUUGUGUUUUUUUCUUCUUUGCAAUCAAAUUACAUAAUCUUGUUGGUUGCUGUUAGAAUCUCCUGCACUCUGAUUCAUAUUAGAAAAAUGUGUAAAAUCAUUAUUACUGAUUUGUGUUAUGAAGAGUUUCAAUUUCAACUUAAAAUCUUAUACUGCCUAGCUAGAUCAAGAACGACUUUUUUUUGGAGUUUUUAAAUGUUAUUUGUUCAUAUGUAUUUAGGUAUCUGUGAGAGUAAAUCACACUGUUAUUCUCUGUCUUUGAUUAUUAAAUACUUAGCACAUUCCUUACAUUUCAGAAAAAUCUUAAAUUGGACUUAAUAUCUUUUAAAAAUCCUUCCAUGACUGUCAAUGAGUGCUGGCAAUGAACAUGAACAAUAUCACUAAAAUCAUGGUAUUCUAUUUCAACAGUUCCAUAAGCUGGCAAUAAUUUAUAGUAUUUGUACAUAUAUGCCAAAUGACUUUUAAACAACUGAAUACCUGUAACACAUUUAUAGAAUCUGCUUCAGAAAACUGAGCACAGGUAUUUUCUAUGUAUCAUAAUUUGGAAUUAAGCAGUAAGGGAAAUAGCAGUCCCUUAUUCUAAAAUUCCAAUAAAUCCAGAUUUUUGAUCUAGUAGAGUUGGACCAUCAUGUGUCAUGUUAGAAACACAUUUUUUAAUAAAUAGCUGAAAUUCUUUUUGGCUAUAAAAGAUAAAAAAUCUGCACUGAAAAUUCAAAUUUUUUCCCUUUGGUUUGAUUCCACUUCUUAAGUUUGGAAGUCCUUUGAGAAACAAAUAUACCAAAGUAUUAUGUCUUAUGUCAAUGUCUCUAUGUCACAUGACCCAUUUAAAGCUAAAAAAAAGCACUUGCCAUUUUUCAGAUUAUGAAUCACUUGCUCUUUGAUAUUAGUAGAAAGAUAAUGGGCAAUUGUUUGAUGGUUUAGUUUAGAUCUUUAACUUUUUGUUAAACGUCUUUUCUUCAUAAUUUUCUAGCAUAAUUUCCAUAACUGAAAAAUUUUUUUUACCAUCUUUUGUCUAAAAUGAUUUUUUAUCAAUGGAUUGAUUGGUUGAUUGAUGCAAGAAUCCAAAACAUUUGUUAGGUGGCUAAAAUUAGAAGCUCAGAUCCUGUUAAAACCAUUAAGAGUUUUUUGCUGGACAUUUAAUUCCCAUUUCAAGCUAAUUUCAUUGAUUCUUUUUGACUAUUGAGGACAAAUUUCUUAUAAAUUCAUUAUGUAUUUGCUUAAAUUAUCUCAAUAUUGUCCAAUUUAUUCACUUAAAAAAUUUUUUUAAGGAAUAGUUUUUUUUUUUUUGCUGUGCUGCAGCAAAUUUCAUUUUCCACUUACUGUAUAUUUGUGACAUACUUAACUUUUAGUCCCCUCUUUAAAAAAUUGAUCCAGCUAUAUUAUUAGUUUCUGUUUCCACUUGAUACUGCAUCAAUAGUAUGCCUUCAUUUUAUGUUUUAACAUAGGUUCACUUGUUUUUUAAACUGUAAGAACGACUUAGUUAUAAUUAGGAUAAUAAGUAUUUAAAUUUAAUUACCUCUAAAACAGAGGAAAAUUAGAAUUUCUUGCCACCAGAUCGACCUUUAAAUAAUGGCUAAAAUAGAUUCUCUAAAGGGAAUGUCUUGGACUAGAACUGGAUCAGGCCUGGAACUUCAGAAAAGAAGAAAGAUCAGUGGAGUGGGUAAAAAUAGGGCUACGUAUAAUAGACUGUUCUUUACCUCAUGAGUUUUAAAAAUCAUGUUUCAUAGUUUGUAUUAAAUUUCUAUUGCUGCUUUAACAAAUAACUACAAGUGUGGCUUAAACAGUACAAAUUUAUUAUCUUACAGUUUCUAAGGUCAGAGUUCAAAGUGGUCUCACUGGCCUAAAAUUAAGGUAUCAUCAGCACUGUAUUCCUUUUGGAGACUAGGAGAGAAUUUAUUUCCUUAUCUUUAUGACCUUCUAGAGGCCACAUGCUUUCCUUGGUUCUUGGUCUCUUCCUCAUGUUCAAAGCCAGUAAUGUUGGCUGAGUCCUUCUCACAUUGUUGUAUCUCUGGUUCUCUUUUCUGACUCCUUCUUCCACUUUUAAGGAUCCAGUGACUAGAUUGGGCUCACCUCAGUCACCCGGUAUAAUCUCUCUCUCUUCAGGUCAGCUAAUUGGCAACCUUAAUUCUAUCUGCUACCUUAAUUCCCCUUUUGUCUUAAAACCUAACAUAUCCACUGGUUCUGGGGAUUAAUAUGUGAACAUCUUUUGGGGGAGGUGACAUGAUUCUGCUCAAUGUAUAUACAGGAAAUACUGAAGAAUUACAUUUAAAGGGUGGGGAGGGAUACAUUUCUAGAGAAUUAUGCUGGGAGAAAAUAGCCAAUCCCAAAAGUCAUAUACUAUGUUAUUCCAUUUAUGUGCCAUUUUAAAAAUGAAACAACUUUAGAAAUGGAGGGCAUAUUGUCAGGACAAAUGAUUGCCAGUGGUUAGGCAUGGGGGAGUGGGUUGAGGGAGGUGAAUAGGUUAUAAAAGGGCAGUACAAGCAUUCUCAGUGAUGUUGGAACUGUUGAAUAUCUUGACUAUGGUAGUGGAUACAUGAACCAACACAGAUGAUAAAAUUGUAUAAAAUGUAAUAAUGUAAACACACACAUACAAAUACUUAUAAAACUAAGAAAUCUGAGUGUGAUCAUUGGGGUUUAUCAAAUUCAAUAUUCUGGUUGUGAUAUAAGGGACUUAAAAUUCAGUAUAUAUCUCAAACCUUUUAAUAUUUUUUAUCAACUACUUUUUUGGGGUAUUGGAAAUACUGAGUUUAGUUUGUAUAUUAAUCUCAGUUUCUCUGUGGAUAGCAGGAUAUUUUAGGAUAUUGAUCUUUUUUUUAGUCUAGUAUCUUAAAGAGUGGCCACCAGAGGCAGGAGGGAGAACUGUGUGGUUAUUAAAGGUCAACAUGAGGAUCCCUUUAGUGGGGACUGUAUAGAGUAUCCUGUGAUGGUGGGUACACAACCUUGCACAGGUGAUAAAGUUACAUAGAACUCAGUACAUCAUACAUUCUCAAAUGAGUCCAGUGGGGAAAUCUGAAUUCAAUCUGUGGGUUGUAUUAAUGUCAAUAUUCCUGUUGUGAUAUGCUAUAGUUCUGUAAAACGUUACCAUUGGGGGAAAUGUACAAGAGAUCUUUCUUCAUUAUUUCUUAAAACUGCAUGUGAAUCUACAAUUUUCUCAAUAAAAUUUUGAAU